GGUGUGGAGAUAAUAUCAUGUAUCUUAUCUGAUCAUAAUGGAAUGAAACUGGAAAUCAAUGAUAAAAGAAGGAAGGAAAAAUACUGCAUCACCUGGAAAAUGAACAAUAUGUUACUGAAUGAUCAAUGGGUUACAGAGGACAUAAAGGAGGAAAUCAAAAAAUUCUUAGAGAUAAAUGAAAAUACAGACACAACAUAUCAGAAUCUAUGGGACACAAUGAAAGCAGUUUUAAGAGGGAAAUUCAUUGCCUGGAGUUCAUUCCUCAAUAAAAGAAAAAACCAACAAAUAAAUGAACUCACACUUCAUCUCAAAACCCUAGAAAAGGAAGAGCAAAACAACAGCAAAUGUAGUAGAAGGCAAGAAAUAAUUAAAAUCAGAACGGAAAUCAACGAAAUUGAAACAAAAAAAACUAUUUAAAAAUUGAUAAAACUAAAAGUUGGUUCUUUGAAAAAAUAAAUAAGAUUGACAGACCCUUAGCCAUGCUAACAAAGAGAAGAAGAGAGAGAACUCAUAUUACCAACAUACGGGAUGAAAAAGGCAAUAUCACAAUGGACACUACAGAAAUACAGAAGAUAAUUAGAAAUUAUUUUGAAACCCUAUAUUCCAAUAAAAUAGAAGAUAGUGAAGAUAUCAAUAAAUUUCUUAAGUCAUAUGAUUUGCCCAGAUUGAGUCAGGAAGAUACACACAAUUUAAACAAACCAAUAACAAAGGAGGAAAUAGAAGAAGCCAUCAAAAGACUACCAACCAAGAAAAGCCCUGGACCGGAUGGAUAUAUAGCGGAGUUUUACAAAACCUUCAAAGAAGAAUUAAUACCAAUACUUUUCAAGUUAUUUCAAGAAAUAGAAAAAGAAGGAGAUCUUCCAAAUUCAUUCUAUGAGGCCAACAUCACCCUGAUCCCGAAACCAGACAAAGACACUUCAAAGAAAGAAAACUACAGACCAAUAUCUCUAAUGAACAUAGAUGCCAAAAUCCUCAAUAAAAUCCUGGUGAAUCAAAUACAAAAGCAUAUCAAAAAAACUGUGCACCAUGAUCAAGUAGGAUUCAUCCCUAGGAUGCAAGGCUGGUUCAAUAUACAGAAAUCAAUAAAUGUUAUUCUCUACAUCAAUAGACUUAAAGAUAAGAACCACAUGAUCAUCUCAAUAGAUGCAGAAAAAGCAUUCAACAAAGUACAACAUCUCUUUAUGUUCAAAACACUAGAAAAACUAGGGAUAACAGGAUCUUACCUCAACAUCGU
Molecule: long non-coding RNA, 1234 nt
Filed under: Marmota monax (woodchuck)
Lineage: Eukaryota; Metazoa; Chordata; Mammalia; Rodentia; Sciuridae
Source: RNAcentral